GGUUCCAUAGUGUAGUGGUUAGCGCUCUGGACUCUCACCCCAGGGGUCUGGGUUCAAAUCCCAUUGGGACCU
This is a non-coding RNA of Syngnathus acus (greater pipefish), 72 nucleotides long. NCBI's taxonomy places the organism in Eukaryota, Metazoa, Chordata, Actinopteri, Syngnathiformes, Syngnathidae. The record is from the annotation of a RefSeq genome assembly.